This 242-nucleotide long non-coding RNA is filed under the name Physcomitrium patens. RNAcentral describes it as "long non-coding RNA (PPAT_LNC001697)". Lineage: Eukaryota; Viridiplantae; Streptophyta; Bryopsida; Funariales; Funariaceae. The record is from RNAcentral.
ACCUUAAUAGUGUCUUUGAUUUUGUGGUGAGAAAGUGAGUUUUAUGUAUGGAAGAACUAAAUGGUGAGGUUGAUUGGAGUUCACAUACUUGUUAGAAGCUUUAAAAGUUGAUUUGGGAGUGUUUGGAGUGAAAAAACAUUCAUUUGUUCACAAGAGGGCAUUCUGAGAUUUUGCUAGUACAAAAAUGUUUUGGUGAUUUUAAGCACAUAGAGACUCUUUUUUUUAAUAUUUUUUGAUAGACC